This 492-nucleotide ribosomal RNA is filed under the name uncultured bacterium. RNAcentral describes it as "partial 16S ribosomal RNA". It matches the Rfam family "Bacterial small subunit ribosomal RNA", at positions 29 to 507 of the family's 1533-position model. The record is from RNAcentral.
AGUGAACGCUGGCGGUAGGCCUAACACAUGCAAGUCGAACGGCAGCACAGUAAGAGCUUGCUCUUACGGGUGGCGAGUGGCGGACGGGUGAGGAAUACAUCGGAAUCUACUUUUUCGUGGGGGAUAACGUAGGGAAACUUACGCUAAUACCGCAUACGACCUACGGGUGAAAGCAGGGGAUCUUCGGACCUUGCGCGAUUGAAUGAGCCGAUGUCGGAUUAGCUAGUUGGCGGGGUAAAGGCCCACCAAGGCGACGAUCCGUAGAUGGUCUGAGAGGAUGAUCAGCAAAACUGGAACUGAGACACGGUCCAGACUCCUACGGGAGGAAGAAGUGGGGAAUAUUGGACAAUGGGGGAAAGCAUGAUCCAGCCAUACCGCGUGGGUGAAGAAGGCCUUCGGGUUGUAAAGCCCUUUUGUUGGGAAAGAAAAGAAGCAGGUUAAUACCCCGCUGUUCUGACGGUACCCAAAGAAUAAGCACCGGCUAACUUCGUG